UUUUUCUGUUUCUCCGCCUGAUGGCCGACUUGUUGCUCCGCCUCACGCUGACCUGUGCUCGCCUUAUGGCUGAACUGUUGCUCCGAGUCCGCCUGACGAGCCACCUGUUUCUCCGGAUCUGUUUCUCCGCCUAACGGCGACCUGUUUCUCCGGACCUGUUUCUCCGGACCUGUUUCUCCGCCUAACGGCGACCUGUUUCUCCGGACCUGUUUCUCCGCCUAACGCCCGAGCUGUUGCUCCGCCUAACACCUGACCUGUGCUCGCCUCACGCCCAGCCUGUUGAUCGGUGGACGGGUAAGCGCGCAUGGCAUCGGAAGGAGCUCGAAAAGUAUAAGGUGAUGACAGUAAGUAACGUUACUGUGAUUUGUGAUCUUUCUGGGGUGUUAACUGUAAAGCAAUGGAUAAUUGCGUGAAAAUCAAACUAAAAGAAUGCAAUCUUGAGGAGUUAAUCCCCACAUUUGAAGCACAGGAGCGAACUUUUCCUCGUUUUUAGGUCAAUUUGAAUACAAUUCAGAGGGGUGGCAUGGGGGCGCAGUGGGUAGUGCUGUCGCCUCACAGCAAGAUGGUCGCUGGUUUGAGCCUUGGAUGGGUUUCCCCUCCACAGUCCAAUGACAUGCGGUGUAGCUGAAUUGGAUUGGGACCAAUAUUGCUGAGUAUCUUCAUCCAUUGAAUUCAAGAAUCUAUUGAGUUUCCUCAUGUUCUCAUCCUUGGAGACCACCACUUCUUUCAAGCCUUUGCUCACGUGCUGUGCUAUUUAUUAUUGCAAAGUACAUUACUUGCCAAAGUG
RNAcentral lists this long non-coding RNA (787 nucleotides) under Danio rerio (zebrafish). RNAcentral's name for it is "si:dkey-222f8.6 (ENSDARG00000094457.4)". The record is from RNAcentral. Lineage: Eukaryota; Metazoa; Chordata; Actinopteri; Cypriniformes; Danionidae.